AGGAUUAACGUUGGCGGCGUGCAUAACACAUGCAAGUUGAGCGUGGCCUUAGUUUACUAAGGUCUAGCAGCGGACGGCUGAGUAAUGCACAGGAACGUACCUCAGAGUGGGGGAUAGCCUCGGGAAACCGAGGGUAAUACCGCAUGUGCUCGCAAGAGUAAAGCCGCAAGGCGCUGUGAGAACGGCCUGUGUCCUAUCAGGUUGUUGGUGAGGUAACGGCUCACCAAGCCUAUGACGGGUAGCUGGUCUGAGAGGAUGACCAGCCAGAUCGGGACUGAGACACGGCCCGAACUCCUACGGGAGGCAGCAGUUGGGAAUUUUGCGCAAUGGACGAAAGUCUGACGCAGCGACGCCGCGUGAAGGAUGAAGGCUUUAGGGUUGUAAACUUCUUUUGCUAGGGAGUAAUUUGUGAACGUACCUAGCGAAUAAGCACCGGCUAACUCCGCGCCAGCAGCCGC
Molecule: ribosomal RNA, 458 nt
Filed under: uncultured bacterium
Lineage: Bacteria
Description: SSU rRNA
Rfam family: Bacterial small subunit ribosomal RNA
Source: RNAcentral